CUUCAGUCAGCCUCUUUGGUUGGAGAUUCUUUUCUUUGACUGGCCUUCAAUUUCUCAUUUUGAGCUUUCCCAAAGGACCAUAAGCAACAGUUUUUCUUGCAAGCAUUUUCUAGCGAUGGAAUCUAGGUUUUGGGGUUUCAACAGGCAGUGUGGAAGAUGAGGUGGUGUUGAGUGUGACUGGUGGUGGAGUUCCAGGAUUGUCUUGGGGAUUUGUCAUGGUGGAGAAUUUCUGGAAAUCUUUGGAGAAUUUUGGAGAAGAGAGUGGAUGAUCAGAGGUCUAAGUGUAGAAUGACG
Molecule: long non-coding RNA, 294 nt
Filed under: Nicotiana benthamiana
Lineage: Eukaryota; Viridiplantae; Streptophyta; Magnoliopsida; Solanales; Solanaceae
Description: long non-coding RNA (NBEN_LNC007285)
Source: RNAcentral